UGCAGUCGAACGAUGAACCACCUUCGGGUGGGGAUUAGUGGCGAACGGGUGAGUAACACGUGGGCAAUCUGCCCUGCACUCUGGGACAAGCCCUGGAAACGGGGUCUAAUACCGGAUACUGACCCUCGCAGGCAUCUGCGAGGUUCGAAAGCUCCGGCGGUGCAGGAUGAGCCCGCGGCCUAUCAGCUAGUUGGUGAGGUAAUGGCUCACCAAGGCGACGACGGGUAGCCGGCCUGAGAGGGCGACCGGCCACACUGGGACUGAGACACGGCCCAGACUCCUACGGGAGGCAGCAGUGGGGAAUAUUGCACAAUGGGCGAAAGCCUGAUGCAGCGACGCCGCGUGAGGGAUGACGGCCUUCGGGUUGUAAACCUCUUUCAGCAGGGAAGAAGCGAAAGUGACGGUACCUGCAGAAGAAGCGCCGGCUAACUACGUGCCAGCAGCCGCGGUAAUACGUAGGGCGCAAGCGUUGUCCGGAAUUAUUGGGCGUAAAGAGCUCGUAGGCGGCUUGUCACGUCGGUUGUGAAAGCCCGGGGCUUAACCCCGGGUCUGCAGUCGAUACGGGCAGGCUAGAGUUCGGUAGGGGAGAUCGGAAUUCCUGGUGUAGCGGUGAAAUGCGCAGAUAUCAGGAGGAACACCGGUGGCGAAGGCGGAUCUCUGGGCCGAUACUGACGCUGAGGAGCGAAAGCGUGGGGAGCGAACAGGAUUAGAUACCCUGGUAGUCCACGCCGUAAACGGUGGGCACUAGGUGUGGGCAACAUUCCACGUUGUCCGUGCCGCAGCUAACGCAUUAAGU
This 796-nucleotide ribosomal RNA is filed under the name Streptomyces mutabilis. RNAcentral describes it as "bacterial SSU rRNA". It matches the Rfam family "Bacterial small subunit ribosomal RNA", at positions 56 to 865 of the family's 1533-position model. Lineage: Bacteria; Bacillati; Actinomycetota; Actinomycetes; Kitasatosporales; Streptomycetaceae. The record is from RNAcentral.